AAUGAGUUAACUUAUGAGAAUACAUAGUUAGUGCAACCCAAGUGCCCUAGAAAGAUGACAGAAAGCUAUGGCUGCUAUGGCAUGUAUUAUUUCAAUGGCUGUCCUGCAAUUAGUGAACUUUGUUUCUGUCUGGUUUACAGAACUUACAAGCAGAACUAAACUCAUGAAGGAGAAAGAGAAGAUAAGGUUUUAUACAUAGAAUGAUCCCUUCUAUCUUCCUAUAGGUUUUUUUCCCUAUGUUUGUUUUGUUUUAAAUUCUUAUACGAUGUCAAUCAUAUGUACAUCAAUAGAGCUUUUUAGCUUUUUUACCAGCUCAGGAUUUGCCUAGAUAUACAGUGAUUAUUAUUCACACAGCCACAUUUCAGACUGCUCCUGAAGUCCAAAGAAAUGAACUUGGGUCGAGGUCACAUAUGUGGUUUGGCAGAGAGGGGCUUAGCAUAGAUCAGGACUAGACCGUAGUAAGGGCAUACUUUUUGCCCCAGAAGUGUCAUCUAAGGAAUCCAAGUCAUUCGUUAAUAUGUAGGACUCAAACAUUUUUCCUCAAAACAGGAAAUCCCUUUCUGCCUCUGAAUGGAGCUACUGAAGAGCAGAGUGCUGCUACACCCGGGGCCCUGCAGCACGCGCUUGGCAGAGGUGGUGUUCGGUGUGUGAGGGGACGUGGGGAAGGAUUUCCCUGCUAAUCCUCUUCAGCAAAGAACAGCGAUCAGCAGCACACCUAUUCUACUGUCUCACAAGAAAUCCAGGCUUGCAAAGGAGUAAGGAAACUGUUUUCAUCAACUGUGCUUUCAUCAGAGAUGCUGCCAAACCCUCAAUAAUGCUGUUUCCUGAAGAACAACUGGUAUCUGUGUUGGUACCUUUUGAAAUAGCCUGGGCUGCUUAUGCUUCACUACUACUUUUCUUGAGCAUUUCUGCAGUGCCAGGUACAGAUUGCUGCAGAGCGCACAACUUGUUCCGAAGGAUUUGUCUGCAGAUAUCUGGUCUCUGAAAACAAAACAUAAGUUUAAAAGCCAG
This 1011-nucleotide long non-coding RNA is filed under the name Struthio camelus australis. RNAcentral's name for it is "lncRNA (ENSSCUG00000006955.1)". The record is from RNAcentral. Lineage: Eukaryota; Metazoa; Chordata; Aves; Struthioniformes; Struthionidae.